UAGCUUUGAUGGAUUAAUGUAGUUUUUAAUGGAAAUAAAAGUGAGUCGCUUAGUCCUGUGACUCCAUGGACUGACUGUAACCUGCCAGGCUCCUCUGCCCAUGGGAUUUUCCAGGCAAGAAUACUGGAGUGGUAGCCAUUUCCUUUUCCAGGUAGAUCUUCCCGACCCAGGGAUUGAACCUGGGUCUCCCACAUUGCAGAUUCUUUACCAUCUUUAGAGCCACCAGGGAAGCUUAAAUUACUUAAUGGAAAUAAUUAAGAACAAACCUUCAACAGAUGGAGGCUCAUUGCAUUUUUUAUUAUUAACUUGUCCAAGAUUCUUAGCUGGACCUCAAGGGCAUCAAUCACCCCACCAGCCCUGUCUCCUUCCUGGAUUCUUCAAGCUCUUUUUGGAAGUCUAGUCCUGGAGAGAACACCCUCCCUUGAAGUGUUCAUCACACCACCGCAUCCAAUAGACUGGCUGUGCAUCGCAUCUUGGGCAUCUGCCCUGGCUUGAAUCCUGCUUGACCACCCGCUUCAUCUCUCUGUGCUUCAGUCUCCUCAGAGGCUAACUGCCGGCGAUCACAGCAUUGACUGGAGGACUAAAUGAGAAAACCAUCCAAAUACUGCCUGUGACUUGGCCUGGUCGCUUACAGAAGAGUAUGCAUGGCCUCUUGAAUGCUGCAAGCAGACUGCCAUUUGAAUUAAGAGUUCUAUACCAUGUGUUCUCCUGGUUCUGAAAUCAGUGUCGGCAAGGAGGAACAACUGAACCACCCAUCUCACUGCACGCUACCCACAGAAGGUUCAGUUUCCUAAGAGCUCUACUUGAAGGGCUCACCUCACCCAGCUCCUUCAAAUGCCCAGACCUCGACAGAGGCUCCUGUGAGGUUAAGCCUGCAAGCAGAACCAGUCCAUGAGGGGCUGUGUCCACUCUGCUUCCUGACUGCCUAUCACUAUCACUCAAAUGAAGCAAAAAGGGCUUCUUCAAGGGACCAGGGAUAUCAUGAGCACAGCCUGUCAAUCCUCUCAACACCCC
Bos taurus (domestic cattle) is the source of this 1014-nucleotide long non-coding RNA. The record is from Ensembl. NCBI's taxonomy places the organism in Eukaryota, Metazoa, Chordata, Mammalia, Artiodactyla, Bovidae.